AGCAGCCGCGGUAAUUCCAGCUCCAAUAGCGUAUAUUAAAGUUGUUGCAGUUAAAAAGCUCGUAGUUGAAUUUCGGGAUCAAUACGUCGGUCGUGCUUUCGGGUACGUACUGGCGUCAUUGGUUUCUCCUUUCUGACGAACCAUGAUGUCAUUAAUUUGGUGUUAUGGGGAGUUAGGACUGUUACUUUGAAAAAAUUAGAGUGUUUAAAGCAGGCAUUAGCUUGAAUACAUUAGCAUGGAAUAAUGAAAUAGGACGUUCGAUCCUAUUUUGUUGGUUUCUAGGAUCAACGUAAUGAUUAAUAGGGAUAGUUGGGGGCAUUAGUAUUCGAUUGUCAGAGGUGAAAUUCUUGGAUUUAUUGAAGACUAACUACUGCGAAAGCAUUUGCCUAAGGAUGUUUUCAUUAAUCAAGAACGAAAGUUAGGGGAUCGAAGACGAUCAGAUACCGUCGUAGUCUUAACCAUAAACUAUAGCCGACUAGGGAUCGGAUGAUGUUAAUUUUUUUAAUGUACUCAUUCGGCG
This 520-nucleotide ribosomal RNA is filed under the name uncultured Glomus. RNAcentral's name for it is "SSU rRNA". It matches the Rfam family "Eukaryotic small subunit ribosomal RNA", at positions 569 to 1085 of the family's 1831-position model. Lineage: Eukaryota; Fungi; Glomeromycota; Glomeromycetes; Glomerales; Glomeraceae. The record is from RNAcentral.